UUGAUUCAAUGGGAGGAAGAAGAGUCUUGUCUUGCACUAAUGUGGGAACCAUAACCCCCACUUUAUAACACAAGAGUUACAUAACCCAAGAGUCACAAGGGUUACAAGAGUUACAUAACUCAAGAGUCACAAGCAUGUAACCAUGGUUACAUAUAUGUAACCUUAGUUAGCCCAUCAUAAACUAAGGUUACCCCUUUGGAUAUCUACACAUUAGUCCUACACUUUAUAUGACAACACAUUGCCCCCCUUAACAUAAUGUCCAUAAGACCACAAAAUUAGGCCAAACCAAAAGAUAGCACAUAACAUAUAAUUUAUCCAUAUAUN
This 324-nucleotide long non-coding RNA is filed under the name Nicotiana benthamiana. RNAcentral describes it as "long non-coding RNA (NBEN_LNC026196)". The record is from RNAcentral. Lineage: Eukaryota; Viridiplantae; Streptophyta; Magnoliopsida; Solanales; Solanaceae.